RNAcentral lists this microRNA (19 nucleotides) under Echinococcus granulosus. Its description in RNAcentral is "egr-miR-10264-5p". The record is from miRBase by way of RNAcentral. Lineage: Eukaryota; Metazoa; Platyhelminthes; Cestoda; Cyclophyllidea; Taeniidae.
CUGAUUCGAAACCUCGGCC